Molecule: long non-coding RNA, 574 nt
Organism: Quercus robur (English oak)
Lineage: Eukaryota; Viridiplantae; Streptophyta; Magnoliopsida; Fagales; Fagaceae
Exons: 3
Source: RefSeq, a predicted model, not a curated record
CAGCUUCUAUAAAUAGUGGACCAUAUUGCAGAGAUUAUAGAUAUAGCAAUCAAAAACAAGCUUUUAAACAAUUUCAGUUUCUAAGUUCAUUUUUCUUGCAAACUUAACUCAAUCACCAUGUCAGACAAGUGUGGCAACUGUGACUGCGCUGACAAGAGCCAGUGCGUGAAGAAGGGAAGCAGCUAUGGCCUUGUCAUCGUGGAGACUGACAAGAGCUACAGCAACACUGUUGUGAUGGAUGCUCCUGCUGCUGAGCACGAUGGCAAGUGCAAGUGCGGUGCUAUCUGCAGCUGCACAAACUGCACCUGUGGUCAUUAAGCCCAUACAAUACCAAGAACAUAUACUAUAUGUAUAUGGAAUAUAUGCUGUGUGUAACUUUCACUAAUAAUGUAAUUUGUGCUGAAUAAAUUGUGUCUUCUAUCACGGUACUUUGUGCUUGUUAUUUGUUAUGGAGAUAUAUGUGUGUCUCUCAGUCUCAGUCACGUUUGUGUUUCCUUCAUGGUACUUGUUGUAUCUUGUAAUGGCCAUCUCUGCGGCCCUUUGUGGUUAAUUUAAUAGACUUCUCUAUUAUGUA